RNAcentral lists this long non-coding RNA (276 nucleotides) under Callithrix jacchus (white-tufted-ear marmoset). RNAcentral's name for it is "lncRNA (ENSCJAG00000084081.1)". The record is from RNAcentral. Lineage: Eukaryota; Metazoa; Chordata; Mammalia; Primates; Cebidae.
AUCAGAGGAGCUCAGCUGUUAAAGUUUCUUUGUGGGGCUGUAAAAUGCCUGCCUGAAAUGUGUGAACGAUUACAGUGAUGUGAUUGUUGGAGCCAGUUACUCGUUUGCGACUUGGGAAAGUAUUAUUAAAGUAAUGAUAAUAUUUUUCCCUUUAAUACUUAGAGGUCUUUAAUCCAAAUAAUCCCUUGAAUGUUUUACAGACUCUACAGAUCAGAAUCACAUCUGCUCCUAGUGAAAAGGAAAAGCCUGGUGACUAUUUCUGACAAACAAAGGUGG